AUAGGAAUUCUGCUUUAACUUGUUCCUGCUUGUGGUGCAUACUACAGAAUGAAAUUAACACUUUUACCCUUCUGGAGGAGAACACGAAUCUUUGGGAACUAGUUCAGGAAGCUCUAAAUACUCUGAAGUCCAAAGAAGUUGUAUGUUGGGUGGGCUCCCUUCAACUUUAACAUGGAAGUGCUUUCUGUGACUUUAAAGGGAUUCUGCAUCUUCAGAGCUGCUUCUCUUCCUCUUCCCUGUUCUGACUUCAGGAUCUGGACUUACCUCAAUUGCUUUUGCUGCUUGUUCUUUUGUUUCAAAUUCCACAAACGCAAAUCCCUUUGGAUCUCCAGUAGACUUAUAAUGUGGUAUACUUAUAUAAACAACAUUGCCACAUUUCCCAAAUACUCUUUCAAUCCAGCUGUGAUUAACAUUUUUGGGAAGUAACUCCUAUUAUAAAUUAAAAGCAAUAUUAGAGUUUUUCACAAUCAGAAUGUCAAUAAAUUUUUAACUUAAUUAUAUUGUUUCUGUGCCAGUUUCUGACUGGGGACCCGGGUUCUUAAGCUUACCACAUACACUGUGCGUUCAUCCUCAUCCUUUGGUCUUUCCCCCAGAGGUUUUUUCCUCCGGAUUCUGGUGCCUUCCAAAUCAAGCUUUAAAAUAGUAUAUUACAUUAAUAAAACUAAUAUUAUUUAUAAUUGUAAGCUAUAAUCAUAUAAUAAUCAUUACGUUAACAUUCUUUAUAAUUAUAAACUAUAAAUAUA
RNAcentral lists this long non-coding RNA (743 nucleotides) under Homo sapiens (human). RNAcentral's name for it is "long non-coding RNA NONHSAT200305.1". The record is from RNAcentral. Lineage: Eukaryota; Metazoa; Chordata; Mammalia; Primates; Hominidae.